RNAcentral lists this long non-coding RNA (179 nucleotides) under Cricetulus griseus (Chinese hamster). Its description in RNAcentral is "lncRNA (ENSCGRG00000025969.1)". The record is from RNAcentral. Lineage: Eukaryota; Metazoa; Chordata; Mammalia; Rodentia; Cricetidae.
UUUACAUCUUCUAAGAAUCUUUCUAUAGGAACUAAUGUGAUGAUCCAGAACCAAAAUAAUUCACUGUGUCUCUACUUGAUUGCUAGCUCUGCCAUACUUACAGAAUUUUAGCUGAUAAACAAUAUAGUGGCAGCAGUGGAAAGAGGAAGAAUUGGAUCCAAGUUUUCAAAUUUUCUGUA